Transfer RNA from Ovis aries (sheep), 72 nucleotides. It matches the Rfam family "tRNA". From Rfam's summary of the family: Transfer RNA (tRNA) molecules are approximately 80 nucleotides in length. The record is from Rfam. Lineage: Eukaryota; Metazoa; Chordata; Mammalia; Artiodactyla; Bovidae.
UCCCAGGUGGCUCAGACGAUAGAGAAUCUGCCUGCAAUGCAGGAGACCUGGGUUCGAUCCCUGGGUCGGGAA